RNAcentral lists this unclassified non-coding RNA (378 nucleotides) under plant metagenome. Its description in RNAcentral is "partial contains 5.8S ribosomal RNA, internal transcribed spacer 2, and large subunit ribosomal RNA". The stretch from base 1 to 105 matches the Rfam family "5.8S ribosomal RNA", at positions 50 to 154 of the family's 154-position model. The record is from RNAcentral.
GAAAUUCGAUAAGUAAUGUGAAUUGCAGAAUUCAGUGAAUCAUCGAAUCUUUGAACGCACCUUGCUCUCCUUGGUAUUCCUUGGAGCAUGCCUGUUUGAGUAUCAUGAAAUCUUCAAAGUAAAUCUUUUGUUAACUCAAUUGGUUUCUACUUUGGUAUUGGAGGUCUUUGCAGCUUCACACCUGCUCCUCUUUGUUCAUUAGCUGGAUCUCAGUGUUAUGCUUGGUUCCACUCGGCGUGAUAAGUUAUCUAUCGCUGAGGACACUGUAAAAGGUGGCCAAGGUAAAUGCAGAUGAACCGCUUCUAAUAGUCCAUUGACUUGGACAAUACUUUUAUGAUCUGAUCUCAAAUCAGGUAGGACUACCCGCUGAACUUAAGC